GACAAGGUGGCUGAGUGGUGAAGGCCCUGGACUGCUAAUCCAUUGUGCUGUGUAUGUGUGGGUUUGAAUCCCACCCUUGUUG
This 82-nucleotide transfer RNA is filed under the name Alligator mississippiensis (American alligator). It matches the Rfam family "tRNA". Rfam says of the family: Transfer RNA (tRNA) molecules are approximately 80 nucleotides in length. Their secondary structure includes four short double-helical elements and three loops (D, anti-codon, and T loops). Lineage: Eukaryota; Metazoa; Chordata; Crocodylia; Alligatoridae. The record is from Rfam by way of RNAcentral.